This is a non-coding RNA of Cordylochernes scorpioides, 86 nucleotides long. The record is from the annotation of a GenBank genome assembly. NCBI's taxonomy places the organism in Eukaryota, Metazoa, Arthropoda, Arachnida, Pseudoscorpiones, Chernetidae.
UGUCCAGGGGCGGGAAUCGAACCCACACCCUUCUGCUCACCUGCCCGGUAAGCAGAAGGGUGUGGGUUCGAUUCCCGCCCCUGGAC